ACAAAUGACAAUUAAACUAGUUUUGCGUAAAACUAUAUAUUUCGAUGUUAUCUACUUUUUAAACUAUAAAUAUAAGUUAUGCAAUUUCCAACAACUGCAGGAAAUUUGACACGUUAAUACUGCUGGUGGACGUUUCGUCCGCAAGGGUUUUAAUAGCCCAGUAGUCAGCACUUUUGUUUUGACAUGAAUAUCAAGUAUAUGGUCAUUUUUAUAAAAUUA
Molecule: long non-coding RNA, 219 nt
Filed under: Mytilus galloprovincialis (Mediterranean mussel)
Lineage: Eukaryota; Metazoa; Mollusca; Bivalvia; Mytilida; Mytilidae
Source: RNAcentral